Erinaceus europaeus (western European hedgehog) is the source of this 418-nucleotide long non-coding RNA. RefSeq lists it as uncharacterized. The record is from RefSeq and is a predicted model, not a curated record. The transcript is spliced from 3 exons. Lineage: Eukaryota; Metazoa; Chordata; Mammalia; Eulipotyphla; Erinaceidae.
CGGGGCUGGGAGCUCCGCGGAGGCUGGAGCGGGCCCGCCGACCUGCAGGGCUCUGCUCGCUCCCUCGCUGGCUCUCAGCUCCACCCUUUCUUGGGGUCUUCCGUUCCAUCCACAGGAUCAAACCCAGGGCCUCACACAUGGAGAGCGCUGUAGCUGAGCCAUCUCCCAGGCCCCUGAGUUAUGCAUCGCGGGCACCAGGUUCCAGAUACUACCAUGAUGCCAACCAGACUUCCCUGGACAGACAACCCCACCAAUGUGUCCUAGAGCUCCAGUUCCCCAGAACCCCACCUCACUAGGGAAAGAGAGAGGCAGGCUGGGAGUAUGGAUUGACCUGUUAAUGCCCAUGUUCAGCGGGGAAGCAAUUACAGAAGCCAGACCUUCCACCUUCUGCAUCCCACAAUGACCCUGGGUCCAUACU